Molecule: ribosomal RNA, 370 nt
Filed under: uncultured eukaryote
Lineage: Eukaryota
Description: SSU rRNA
Rfam family: Eukaryotic small subunit ribosomal RNA
Source: RNAcentral
AGCUCCAAUAGCGUAUACUAAUGUUGUUGCAGUUAAAAAGCUCGUAGUCGGAUUUCAGUAUUUGAAACACAGCUCAGCAGAGUAUGUGUAUCAGUACUUCUUUGACAGAAACUUUCAUCUCAUUUACUUGUGGUGUUUGGGGACUGUCUCUUUUACUUUGAGAAAAUUAGAGUGUUCAAAGCGGGUUAUCGCCAGAAUAUUACUCUUGGAAUAAUGCUAUAGGACUCCGGUUCUUUUUUGUUGGUGACUUAGGACCGGAGUAAUGAUUGAUAGGGACAGUUGGGGUCAUUCGUACUGCAAAGCGAGUGGUGAAAUACAUGGACCUUUGUAUGACGAACUACUGCGAAAGCAUUUGACUAGGAUGUUCCCG